GUCGGUAAAACUCGUGCCAGCCACCGCGGUUAUACGAGAGGCUCAAGUUGACAGACAUCGGCAUAAAGAGUGGUUAGGAAGUUUUUAAACUAAAGCCGAACGCCCUCAGAACUGUUAUACGUACCCGAGAGCAAGAAGCCCCACUACGAAAGUGGCUUUAUACCCCCGACCCCACGAAAGCUGCGAAACAAACUGGGAUUAGAUACCCCACUAUG
This 215-nucleotide ribosomal RNA is filed under the name Cichlidae sp. Its description in RNAcentral is "partial small subunit ribosomal RNA". Lineage: Eukaryota; Metazoa; Chordata; Actinopteri; Cichliformes; Cichlidae. The record is from RNAcentral.